AAUCGCCUACGGGAGGCAGCAGUCGAGAAUCAUUCACAAUGGGGGAAACCCUGGUGCAGCGACGCCGCGUGGGCGAGGAAGUACCUCGGUAUGUAAAGCCCUAUCAGCAGGGAAGAAACAGGACAGUACCUGACUAAGAAGCCCCGGCUAACUACGUGCCAGCAGCCGCGGUAAUACGUAGGGGGCAAGCGUUAUCCGGAUUCACUGGGCGUAAAGGGAGCGCAGGCGGCAUGGCAAGUCUGAUGUGAAAACCCGGGGCCCAACCCCGGGAGUGCAUUGGAAACUGCCAGGCUGGAGUGACGGAG
This 305-nucleotide ribosomal RNA is filed under the name uncultured bacterium. RNAcentral describes it as "bacterial SSU rRNA". It matches the Rfam family "Bacterial small subunit ribosomal RNA", at positions 333 to 654 of the family's 1533-position model. The record is from RNAcentral.